GUCACCGCAUCUUUAUAAAGGGCCGCCUUGGGGCGCGAAAAGUUCGUGAGGUGUAGUCGCGGCAACCAGGAGCAGGUGCACCCACCACUAGAAUUUGAACAUCCUAAGAACAGGUAUUUUUGUCUCUGCUUUGCUGAUGUAUCCUCAGCAACCGGAACUGCCUGACAUCUGAUCCUUUCUGUGAGACACCAGGCUGUUGAGGAAGAAUCUAUGGCAACAUUGUAUCUAUUAAUAUACAGCUUCUGUAUUUAUCAGGCCCAGUUCUGGUGAUGAUUUCACUUUUGACAGAAGCUGUCCCUCAAAAGCAAACAUGCAAUAGAAGAAACAGAUCUCAAUGCCAUCCAUCUGCAGUUGUGACAAGCAAAAAAGUCUCCAGACAUGGCCAAAUGUCCCCUGGGGGGCAAAAUCACCCCCAAUUGAGAACUACUGCUCUAAACUGUGAGUCUGAGUUUCAACUGAUGUAGUACAGGUUUUACACAUAAGCAAACUACUUACAAUGUCUGUGAAUACUCCAGGCCUCAUAAGAUUGAUCAUUUUUGCAACCUGGAAAACAUCCACAGCAUUUUCAUUCUCCAGUUGCUGGGACAGGGUGGUAAGGGCACAUAACAUUCCUGCUGAAACUGCUCCAUACCUGGGGGAGAAAAAAAAAAGAUACGAUUUCAGAUGUACAAAGGGACCAAAUAUAUUGAAAUGAAAUUACUGUCAUGUAUUUUCAUAGAAACUAAGUAGACUGUUUUGACAUUUACUCUAAAGACACGACUGAAUGAAAUGCUGGUGGGGGAGGGAUUUGGAAGCUAGCAUAAAGGUGAGAUUUGUUUAUGAAAGUGGAGUAUCCCAAAUUGGUUCAUGAGACGUUUAGCUUGAUAUCUAAUAGGAAAUGAGAGGUUCAGAAGUAGACUUAGGAGAGCUAAAGAUGAUUUGGUGUUGGUGAUGAGUUGGGUGGUACAAUAGAAAAAACAAUAAAGAGAACCUCUUAACUAGACGUUAUUGGACAAGCAGCCAGUGAUGAAGGGCUCUGAAUUUUUUUUUAACAAUUCCAAACAGUUAAAUUGAACUUACAGAAUAUGAAAAAUUUAAAAAUGGAAUUAUAUGGCUCAAAACAGACAAUUUCCAAAAUUAAUUUCAUAUGAAAUAAUUAUUUUGGCACUGAAGUGGAACUUUCCUAAUGAGAGCACUUUCUAUGAAAUCCUUGGAAAGAUAAAUGUGGUUCUCUUUGCCUCACAAAAAAGUCUUAGAAAGGUAGUAAAUUUCCAUCAGGCCAGGUUGGCAACUCCACUUUUCACAAGAAUCUGUGAUGGCACACAGUUUCCACAUUAGUGAUGAGAAAACAGAUGGAUUAAAUGAAUUGUUCAAGAUGAUGUUGCUGGCUGGUGGCAGAAAUGAGACUGGAGUUCAGAUGCCCUGUGCCCAUUGUUUUUUGAAAAACUUAAAUGUCAUUUCUGAAUUGUUACAUAAAAUUAAAAUAUUACAUGUUUUAUAUCUUUAAUACAAAUAAGACCAGAGUCCCCCUUAGCCACCCCCCAACUUUAGAGGUAACCUCUCCAGAGGUAAAAAUUAUUACACGUGUAGAUACAGCCUUCCAGAUUUAGGUGUAUCACUACAUUUCAGUUCAACUCAUUAUUUCAUCUGCUACAUGCAUACCAGGUUUACCUUCUAGAUGGACAUUUAGCUUGUUUGAAUUUGUGCACUUUAGCAUAGGUACUGAGUAGAAGGGCUAGGGUCACAGGUAUGCCUGUUUUUAGUUUUAAAGACACUGCCAUAUUUCUUUCCCAAGUGGCUGUUACCUGUUCAUACUAUUCCCAGCACGAGAACACUUGCUUCUCCUCAUCAUUUUAAACUUGAAACACUUUUGCCAAUCUGAUGAGUGGAAGACUGUAUCUUACUAGGGUUUUAAUUUACAUUUCCUUGAUUACCAGGGAGGCUGAAUGUCUUUUUAUGAAUACUGACCAUCUAUAUUUCCUCUUCUGAAAUCGCCUAAUUAACACUUUUCUACUAAGUUUGCCUCUUCCAAAAUGAUUUAUAUAGGAGUUAUUUUUAUAGUGUCUGUAGUACUUGUGAGUUUUUUUGCCCCCCGAUCUGUUUCUCUUAACAUUGUUUGUGGUCAUUUUGUUAUACGGAAGUACAGUUUAGAUGUAAUCAAGUUGAUACAUCUUUUAUUUUUGGCUUUUUUUGGAAUCUUGUUUGAGAAUGCUUUCUCUAACCUUGUAUUUUAAAGAUACUCUCCUACAUGUUCUAAUUUUACUUUUUUACGUUUAAUUGUCUAAUUCAUCUGAGUCUUAUUCUUGCUUUGAUGUAAGGAAGGGGUCUGAUUACAGUUAUUUUAUUUUUCCAUUGGAUAACCAGUUGUCCCAGCACUUCUUAUUUUACAGUGUGAUCUUUUCUCACUGACAUCAGCUUCCUUUUUAUCAUGUACUACAUUCUUAUAUAUGCAAGCCUAUUUCUGAACUCUGUUUUGACCUUUUAUUCUGUUUGUCUAUUUUUUGUACCUCCCCACGUGUAUCCCAAUUCCUUAAUAAGUCUU
Molecule: long non-coding RNA, 2521 nt
Organism: Homo sapiens (human)
Lineage: Eukaryota; Metazoa; Chordata; Mammalia; Primates; Hominidae
Gene: PTPRG-AS1
Product: PTPRG antisense RNA 1
Source: Ensembl